AAUCAACGCUGGCGGCGUGCCUCAGACAUGCAAGUCGAACGAUUAAAGCUCUCUUCGGAGAGUGUAUAGAGUGGCGCACGGGUGAGUAACACGUAAGUAAUCUACCCUCGAGUGGGGAAUAACAACCGGAAACGGUUGCUAAUACCGCAUAAUGCAGCGGCACCGCAAGGUGACAGUUGUUAAAGAUUUAUCGCUUGAGGAGGAGCUUGCGGCAGAUUAGCUAGUUGGUAGGGUAACGGCUUACCAAGGCUACGAUCUGUAACCGGUCUAAGAGGACGGUCGGUCACACUGACACUGAAUAACGGGUCAGACUCCUACGGGAGGCAGCAGUCGGGAAUUUUGGGCAAUGGGCGAAAGCCUGACCCAGCAACGCCGCGUGAAGGAUGAAGUAUUUCGGUAUGUAAACUUCGAAAGAAUAGGAAGAAUUAAUGACGGUACUAUUUAUAAGGUCCGGNUAACUACGUG
Molecule: ribosomal RNA, 465 nt
Filed under: uncultured bacterium
Lineage: Bacteria
Description: bacterial SSU rRNA
Rfam family: Bacterial small subunit ribosomal RNA
Source: RNAcentral